RNAcentral lists this ribosomal RNA (179 nucleotides) under uncultured bacterium. Its description in RNAcentral is "partial 16S ribosomal RNA". It matches the Rfam family "Bacterial small subunit ribosomal RNA", at positions 335 to 527 of the family's 1533-position model. The record is from RNAcentral.
AUUCCUACGGGAGGCAGCAGUGGGGAAUAUUGGACAAUGGACCAAAAGUCUGAUCCAGCAAUUCUGUGUGCACGAAGAAGGUCUUCGGAUUGUAAAGUGCUUUCAGUUGGGAAGAAGAAAGUGACGGUACCAACAGAAGAAGCGACGGCUAAAUACGUGCCAGCAGCCGCGGUAAUAAU